GAUGAACGCCGGCGGCGUGCCUAACACAUGCAAGUCGAACGAUGAAACCGCCCUCGGGCGGACAUGAAGUGGCGAACGGGUGAGUAACACGUGACCAACCUGCCCCUUGCUCCGGGACAACCUUGGGAAACCGAGGCUAAUACCGGAUACUCCUCGCCCCCCUCCUGGGGGGCCCGGGAAAGCCCAGACGGCAAGGGAUGGGGUCGCGGCCCAUUAGGUAGUAGGCGGGGUAACGGCCCACCUAGCCCGCGAUGGGUAGCCGGGUUGAGAGACCGACCGGCCACAUUGGGACUGAGAUACGGCCCAGACUCCUACGGGAGGCAGCAGUGGGGAAUUUUGCGCAAUGGGGGCAACCCUGACGCAGCAACGCCGCGUGCGGGACGACGGCCUUCGGGUUGUAAACCGCUUUCAGCAGGGAAGAAAUUCGACGGU
RNAcentral lists this ribosomal RNA (432 nucleotides) under uncultured bacterium. RNAcentral describes it as "bacterial SSU rRNA". It matches the Rfam family "Bacterial small subunit ribosomal RNA", at positions 28 to 476 of the family's 1533-position model. The record is from RNAcentral.